UUUGUUAAUUAUAUGCAAUAUAUUUUCUUGUUAUAAAUAUUUAUCCCUUUUUGUUUUGCCUGACGUCACUUAGGCAAGUGGCUAAACAUGGCAACACUUAGCACCUUCCAUAGUUGUACCUAGGCCACCGGAACCCUUUGCACCUUAGUGUUCCUUUAAUAACUUUGAUAAACUUUAAAUGGAAAAUUUAAUCAAUAUAUAGACAAAAUG
This 210-nucleotide unclassified non-coding RNA is filed under the name Hevea brasiliensis (rubber tree). Lineage: Eukaryota; Viridiplantae; Streptophyta; Magnoliopsida; Malpighiales; Euphorbiaceae. The record is from RNAcentral.